RNAcentral lists this long non-coding RNA (595 nucleotides) under Pan troglodytes (chimpanzee). RNAcentral describes it as "lncRNA (ENSPTRG00000053482.1)". Lineage: Eukaryota; Metazoa; Chordata; Mammalia; Primates; Hominidae. The record is from RNAcentral.
AUGGUCAACAACUUUUUACAGGUAGUAUUAUUCCACAAAAUUUCAACAUAUAUAUGUCAAAGUUAUUACUCUAAUAUUUUUCUAUUAUUGUUUUGCCCAAUUAUAGUGAAUUUUAUUCUGAUCUUGUCUAGACUGAAGCUGGCACCAUAUUCAAUUACGGACAUUCCUACAUUGAUUGUCAAGGUGUUGAAAUAUCCACCAUGUAAUUUUUUCUCCACACUCACAGAGAGGCUCACGGUAAACCUCCUAAAGCAUCUUAUUAAAAGAGGUAAUGAGCUUUCUUGUUUCAAGGCCCUCAAACUUAACCUUUUUUUCCAAUAUUUAGAAAAGGCUUUUUCAGUUAACGCAACUCUUUCUUGCCUCAAAUUUUCUUUAAAAUUGUGAUGCAAAUAUAAUUCUCUGUAGUGAAUCUCUCUAACCUUUUCUAAAUUGAAAGCAUUAUGCAAACAUUUAUAGCAAUUUAAACAAUCAUUUUGGAUAGCAAUUUUAUGAGUCAAUAUUUCUUUCCAAGAAAAUGUUUGGCAAACUAUAAUUUUGGAGAAAAUAUUAACAUUUUAGUUUCCAGAAAUGAUUGUAUUUGUACUAUGAAGCAGAA